This 100-nucleotide small nuclear RNA is filed under the name Suricata suricatta (meerkat). The record is from RNAcentral. Lineage: Eukaryota; Metazoa; Chordata; Mammalia; Carnivora; Herpestidae.
GUGCUUGUUUCAGCAGCACAUACACUAAAAUUGAAAUGCAGAGAUUAACAUGGCCUCUGUGCAAGGAUGACACCAAAUUUGUGAAGUGCUCCAUAUUAAA